UCCCUUUGAGUGUAUACCCGGAAGUGUCAAAAUAUUCCGGGAGAUCUAAACAUGGCGUCUAGGGAGUUACUGGCUUCAGAGAUGAAUGCGUCCAGCCUAAGUUUAAAUCGUUGCCCGAUGUUCCCUGAUAACCCAGAUCAUUGUGAUACUGUGGUUCUGGUGAGGAAAGUGGUGGCCUCGUUCUCCUUUAUUGGAUGUGUCUUCAUGAUCUUCGUCAUCUGGCUCUUUAAGAAAUACAUCGUGUUUACACAGAGGUUGAUCCUGUACCUGAGCAUCAGUGCGCUGUUGGACAGCAUCUCCUAUCUCAUGGAACACACAGAGAGUGACAUGAUCCCUGACAGUAAACUGUGCAACUUCUUGGGAUGGUGGCUGACAUUUUUUGACUGGACGGUGCUGCUGUGGGUGGGCUGCAUCACCUUCAACCUCUACAUGAACGUCAUCAGGGCCACCACCACACACAGGUUUGAGUGGGCCUACCAUAUUUUGUGCUGGGUGUUUUCAUUUGUGGUGUCCUGCUUGCCUUUCAUCAACGACCGCUACGGGCCUGCUGGAGCCUGGUGCUGGAUUAUCGAAGACUGGAAAUGGAGGCUGGGCAUCUGGUAUGGCCCUCUGUUCAUCAUCAUUGCCUUGCUGUUUGUGGCCUAUAUCUACAUCUCCGUCAUGCUCCACAGAAAGGCCAACACCUGGGAAGGAACAUACGAUCCUGACACAGAGAGAGAACAUCAAAUGCUGAAGGAGGAUAUCAAACCACUGAGGUUCUACCCCUUUGUGUACCUGGCCGUGUCCAUCUUCCCCCUCAUCAACAGGAUUCAGAAUGCAAUAUCCCCCCAUUACCAUGUGUUUGCGCUGGUCCUGCUGGCGUCUAUAUCAGCUCCACUGCAUGGUGCUCUAAAUGCUAUUGUGUUCGGUAUGGACAAAGAAACAUUACACAAGUUGAAACCUGCACAAAUACGCGUGGCGUUUCAGAGUCACUUGCAUCAUCAAGAAGUGCGAGAGUACCCCGUGGCGUACCGCUCCCCCGAAACGCCUCCCAGUCACAGCGUGGAGUCCCAAGCACCUCGAUUCCAGCACAUCUCCUACUCCAAACUGCAUUAAUACAUUACUAAUAUAUGUAACAUUGUCAUACUAACCCUCUCAAUGCUAGGAGCAACGACUAAUACUAGAGCCAUAGACCGCCUCCGUGGUCCAGUGGAUUGAGCGUUUGUCUGGAGAGUGGAUGGUUGGUGGUUUGAUCCCUGUCUGCGUCAUACCAAAACACAUGAAAAGACGGUGCUUGUAACCUUUUAUGCAGUAAGGGGAUAAUACAAGGACUGGUCGGCUUGGAGUCAGUAUAUGGUGUCUCAUUGGGGUAUCCAUGUUAAACUGCGGCAUGGUAUCUCAGUGGGCUAGCACUAUAAAACUGGUAUAAGUCCGGACUAGUACUAGAAGCCACACACACACACACAUGUUGCUAUAUAAGUGCAAUAAUCCUGAAUGCGACAUAAAUUUCACCUCACAAGUUUCGUAUAUUAUAUUUUUGCAUUGUUCUGCAUGAUCACAAGUUUAUUGUUUGUUGAGAUUAUGUUUUGAUUAUGUAAGAGUCUAUCAUAAGGGUUAAUAUUAUUUUUGGUAAGUUGGUGAAAGAUCCUGUUUUAUUGACGUGGUCUGGCCUUAUUACAAUAUUUUAUAUAUUUGCAUAAGCAGUGUUCCCUUUAACCGGUAUAUACCAGUCUUUUACCGGUAAAAUUAAGCUUGGACCAGUAAUUCAUGUGCCUGUCAGUCCUUUACAAAUCUUUGUUUUUGAACAAAACAUUGGCUAUAUUCAUAUAAGUAUAUGUUUCGAAUGAAGUCAGCAUGUCUGUCAGCAUCACGGAUUCCCCUUGUCUAUUUUUAGUGCAAGCAAAUCACAUUACGCUUUGCAUCGAGGUUAACUGUACAUUUGUGGCAACUUCAGCUCGAAAUAUUAACCAAAAAAAAGAGAAACAUGUGACUGAACUUUAUGUAAAUGACAUGUAAAUUUAACAAAGUUACUUCAGAGAUGGCGUCAUUGCAUUAAACAUGAUAUUAAGAAUUAAAACCAGGUAAUUUUCAUACUUUUUUUAUUUGGUAAAAGUUGAGACUGACGGAAAUUAGGGGGUACUGGUCAUUUUUAGAGUUGCCAGUCCUGGUGGACUGGUAGUUUCAAAAGUCAACGGGAACACUGGCAUAAGUUCUCCUUCUCCUUCUUCUCAACAAUUUUGUUAUUUGAAAGACAUUGAGAAUAUGUUAUAUCCCAAUCCAGUGUCCAUGGUAACCGCUGUGGGGCCAUUGUGUGCUGGACGUUCAGCCUUGAGAACAGUCUGUGUCUUCUCGGGGGUACAAGUCAGAUAACCUUGUACUCUGUUGGACUGCACGGUGUACAAGUCAGAUAACCUUGUACUCUGUAGGACUGCACGGGGUACAAGUCAGAUAACCUUGUACUCUGUAGGACUGCACGGUGUACAAGUCAGAUAACCUUGUACUCUGUAGGACUGCACGGUGUACAAGUCAGAUAACCUUGUACUCUGUAGGACUGCAUGGUGUACAAGUCAGAUAACCUUGUACUCUGUAGGACUGCACGGUGUACAAGUCAGAUAACCUUGUACUCUGUAGGACUGCACGGUGUACAAGUCAGAUAACCUUGUACUCUGUAGGACUGCACGGUGUACAAGUCAGAUAACCUUGUACUCUGUAGGACUGCACACUGUUACCAGUACACUGCACUAUGUUUCAAGUAAUGCAUAUUGCAAUAAUCAGUGUUCCAGUAUAUUGGGUAAAAAAGUUUUGUUAUCAUUUGUAUCGCUUAACCUAAGGUCAACACAGAGAUGCAUUCAUACAUGAUGUCUUUCCCUCGAAACUGACAAAAUGACAGAAACACGAAAGUUUUCACUCACAUUGUUAUCUCCCCUGAAUGCAUGACUACAAAAUGGCAGCGACUGAUCAUGCUGAAUAAUAUCUACUUUGGUAUGUAGAAAAUAGGAUCUGCGUGUACAAACAGUGUAAAACACUAAGCUCACAAUAUAUCACAAUACAGACACCUGUAUCAAAAUAUAUUGCAAAACCAUUUUUUUGCUAGUGCACAGUCCUACUUAUUAAAAGAACAACCAAUCCUGUUUAAUUGACUUUCUUGAUUGUGUGUCUGGUGGUUCAACAUUGUAUCAUUCACUGUAAUGUUAGAUGUUAACGUUUCUUGUCCUGUUGGGGGCAGGGUUGACUUAGUCGUCUAAAGAGAUGCAAAGUCUUUGUCCAAAGUUGUGUCCUUUGGGCAAACCAGAAACCUAACAAUAGCCAAUAAGCUGGACCCCCUGGAAUAGAAACAUUUUGAAUAUGCAUAUGAAUAUACUUUGUGAGCAAAUACUCAACGGCUCAAAACAUUGUCGGGAUGAUAAAACUCUGAAGUCACAAUCAGCGUUAAUUAUAAUACUACGUUUAUCACAAUACUAUGUUUAUCUUAACAAGUUAAUCAAAAUAUGUUUAUCACUUCUUUGAAAGGCAUUUAAAAGUGAUACACAUAAGGAAGAGAAUUUAUGGAUGUCAACGUUUCGGAGUAUAUGCAUACCCCUUCAUCAGGUGAAUGAAUGCUACAAGGCAGAGAGCAUAUGUAUGUACGUGUAAGAACAAGAAGACUAAUUUGAUAACAAAAGGUGGAAACUUAACAAGGGAAGCCAACACAUAAUUUGUUUCCACCUUUUGUUAUCCAUAAAUUCUCUUCCUUAUGUUUAUCACUAUUCUACAAUCAUAACAAGACUAUGUCUAUCAAAAUACUAAGUUUAUCACAAUACCAUACAUAUCAUGAUACAAGAUGUCUGAGUGAAAUUGCUUUUUGUAGGCCAUAUUGAUACACUACAGGUCACAAUUGUAUUUUUUACAAAAUCCGUUUUAGAUGCCAAAUGUUUUUCGCUAAUUUACCUCAGGUACUCCAUAAUAUAUCGUGUAUAUUCAAGUUAAUUGAUGCCAAACAAACAAUCAUUUGAAUGGGAAACUAAUUUCCUUCUUGUAUUAAUAUGCUUGUGUUGACACGAUGAUUUUGUUUGUUUAUUACAUAAUGUCAGUCUCAUUAAUAUUGCAGUUAUAUGACAGCAGUCUGUAAAUAAUCUUGACCAGACAAUUCAGUGAUUCAUUGCAACCCAUGCUUGUCAUAAGAGGUGACUGAAUGGAUCAGGGGGUCAGACUAGGUGACAAGGUUGAUGCAUGUUAUCGUAUCCCAGUUGUGUGGAUCGAUGCUCAUGAUGUCAAUCACUAGUUGGCUCCGGUCCUGCCUCAAUUAUUAACAGACCACAGUCAUAUAGCUGGAAUAUUGUGGUCGUAAACAACAAACAAGUUUUGUAGAUAUAAUUUUUCAUCUGUUCAGUUAUUAUCUAGCUUUUGUUCAGAUGCUAGAGGUGAAAGUAUCAGAUGAUUUAUGAUGCUACUAUAGUUUCACAGUAAUUCUCAUAAAGUCACCUCUUACGACCAGACUUAUGAUUCAAAUGCGAAAUGAUUGAUGGAUAGGACCAAAAAGAUAAUCAUUUGGUGGCUGUCAUGUGACCAACCCUUCCCAAGAUGGCCUAAAUAGUUUGUUUUUGUUAUAUAUAUGCCCAUUUAUACCCUGUCAAACCAUGGGUACAUUUUAAGAACUAGCACUGCAGGUCUAAGAAAUGAAACAAUGAAUGCCUACAAACAAUCUGGAAUUGAACAUGUUGUUGAUGACUUAGCCUAAAUGAUUUGUUGUAGUGAAUGCUGCAUAGGUGUUGUGGUAAAGGGAAUCUUUAGUAGAUGGAAAGGUUCUCCAGAUGAAAGGGUUCACUAGAUUAAAGGUUCUCCAGAUGAAAGGUUCUCCAGAUGAAAGGGUUCACUAGAUUAAAGGUUCUCCAGAUGAAAGGUUCUUGAGAUGAAAGGUUCUUGAGAUGAAAGGUUCUCUAGAUUAAAGGGUUCUCUAAAUGAAAGGUUCUCCAGAUGAAAGGGUUCACUAGAUUAAAGGUUCUCCAGAUGAAAGGUCCCCAAGAUGAAAGGUCAUCCAGAUGAAAGGUUCUCCAGAUAAGAGGGUUCUCAAGAUGAAAGGUUCCUCAGAUGAAAGGUUCUUUAGAUUAAAGGGUUCUCUAGAUGAAAGGUUCUCUUGAUGAAAGGUUCUCCAGACGAAAGGUUCUCCAGAUGAAAAGGUUCUGCAGAUGGAAAGGUUCUCUAUAUGAAAGGGUUCUCCAGACGAAAGGUUCUCCAGAUGAAAAGCCUCUCCAGAUGAAAGGUUCUCUGGAUGAAAAGGGUUCUCCAGAUGAAGGUUCUCUAGAUGAAAAGGUUCUCCAGAUGAAGGGGUUCUCUAGAUGAAAGGGUUCUCCAGAUGAAAAGGUUCUCAGAUGAAAGGUUCUCUAGAUGAAAGGGUUCUCUAGAUGAAAGGGUUCUCUGGAUGAAAGGGUUCUCCAGAUGAAAGGUUCUCUGGAUGAAAGGGUUCUCCAGAUGAAAGGUUCUCCAGAUGAAAGGUUCUUGAGAUGAAAGGUUCUCCAGAUGAAAGGGUUCUCUAAAUGAAAGGUUAUCCAGAUGAAAGGGUUCACUAGAUUAAAGGUUCUCCAGAUGAAAGGUCCUCCAGUUGAAAGGUUCUCCAGAUAAGAGGGUUCUCCAGAUGAAAGGUUCUUUAGAUUAAAGGGUUCUCUAGAUGAAAGGUUCUCCAGACGAAAGGUUCUCCAGAUGAAAAGGUUCUCUACAUGAAAGGGUUCUCCAGUGGAAAGGUUUUCCAGAUGAAAGGGUUCACUAGAUUAAAGGUUCUCCAGAUGAAAGGUUCUUGAGAUGAAAGGUUCUCUAGAUUAAAGGGUUCUCUAAAUGAAAGGUUCUCCAGAUGAAAGGGUUCUCAGAUGAAAGGUUCUCUAGAUGAAAGGGUUCUCUAGAUUAAAGGUUCUCCAGAUGAAAGGUUCUCUGGAUGAAAGGGUUCUCCAGAUGAAAGGUUCUCUAGAUGAAAGGGUUCUCCAGAUGAAGGGGUUCUCUAGAUGAAAAGGUUCUCCAGAUGAAACGGUUUUCAGAUGAAAGGGUUCUCUAGAUGAAAGGGUUCUCUAGAUGAAAAGGUUCUCUAGAUGAAGGUUCUCUGGAUGAAAGGGUAUCUAGAUGAAAAGGUUCUCUAGAUGAAGGGGUGCUCGAGAUGAAAGGGUUCUCCAGAUGAAAAGGUUCUCCAGAUGAAACGGUUCUCAGACGAAAGGGUUCUCUAGAUGAAAGGGUUCUCCAGAUGAAAGGCUUCCCCAGAUGAAACGGUUCUCUAGAUGAAACGGUUCUCAGAUGAAAGGUUCUCUAGAUGAAAGGGUUCUCUGGAUGAAAAGGUUCUAUAGAUGAAAGGGUUCUCCACAUGAAAGGGUUCUCUAGAUGAAACGGUUCUCAGAUGAAAGGGUUCUCUAGAUGAAAGGGUUCUCUAGAUGAAAGGGUUCUCUAGAUGAAAGGGUUCUCCAGAUGAAAGGGUUCUCUAGAUGAAAUGGUUCUCAGAUGAAAGGUUCUCUAGAUGAAAGGGUUCUCUGGAUGAAAGGGUUCUCUAGAUGAAAGGGUUCUCCGGAUGAAAGGGUUCUCUAGAUGAAAGGGUUCUCUACAUGAAACGGUUCUCAGAUGAAAGGGUUCUCCAGAUGAAUGGGUUCUCUAGAUGAAAGGGUUCUCCAGAUGAAAAGGUUCUCUACAUGAAAGGGUUCUCCUGAUGAAAGGCUUCCCCAGAUGAAACGGUUCUCAGAUGAAAGGGUUCUCCAGAUGAAUGGGUUCUCUAGAUGAAAGGGUUCUCCAGAUGAAAAGGUUCUCUACAUGAAAGGGUUCUCCUGAUGAAAGGCUUCCCCAGAUGAAACGGUUCUCAGAUGAAAGGGUUCUCUAGAUGAAAGGGUUCUCUAGAUGAAAGGGUUCUCUAGAUGAAAAGGUUCUCCAUAUGAAUGGGUUCUCUAGAUGAAGGGGUUCUCCAGAUGAAAAGGUUCUCAGAUGAAAAGUUUUCUUGAUAAAACAGUUCUCCAGAUGAAAAGGUUCUCUGGAUGAAAGGGUCCUCUACAUGAAAGGGUUCUCUAGAUGAAAGGGUUCUCUAGAUGAAAGGUUCCCUUGAUGAAAGGGUUCUCUACAUGAAAGGGUUCUCUAGAUGAAAGGUUCCCUUGAUGAAAAGGUUCUCCAGAUGAAAAGGUUCUCUACAUGAAAGGGUUCUCUAGAAGAAAGGUUCUCCAGAUGAAAAGGUUCUCUAGAUAAAAAGGUUUCCCUAGAAGAAAGGGUUCUUUAGAUGAAACAGUUCUCCAAAAGAAAGGAUUUUCUUGAUGAUAAUGAAAGGGUUCUCUAGAAGAAAGGGUUCUUUAGAUGAAAGGUUCUCCAAUGAAAGGAUUCUCUUGAUAAUGAAAGGGUCCCACGCGACCUGAAUUUGUUUCUUACAAAACUUGAGCUUCUAAGUGGAGGCUGAAGUCCCUGCUGCGGCAUUAAGCAAUAUUGAGUCACUCCCAAUUGAUUCUAAAACCUAUCAGGUAAAAAAUGUUUUGGAUAUAAGUGGAUACGCUUUUCAAGAGUCUUUUUAAGCUGACUCAUCAAAAGUUGGCCCAUGAAGGACAUCUCUCAAUGUGAUAAAUGAAUAAUUUACUUUCCGUCCAUACAUGCUUGAAUGAAUGUGUUUGUUCAAGUAAUUCUUUUCAAUAAAUUGGUAUUGGAUAUUCAUUUGUUACAUUAAUAUAUAUGGUAUUGAGCAAUUGAUGAUGCACACAGCAAUGUCACAGCAGUUUCCAGCUUUAACCAAAUAAAAUAAGAAAUUGUACAGCUUAUGAUUCAUGUAUAUUAUAAAUGUAUAUUUGCUAUUUAUCAUAUUGAUUUAUGUAUAAUUGCCAGAAUAUUUAAGGAUUGACUGUGCAUUUUUCCGUUCAUAUAGGUUUGAAUCGAAAAAUACCUAUGUGCAAACUAUGAUUCUGUUGAGCGUAACUAAAUAAUUUAUUUCUAUAUGAUAGCCAGAAUAUAUACUAUUAGUCAUAGAGAAGAAUAAGUAGAUGAUGUAGGAAAAAAAACUAUCAAUUAGUCAUUCAUACAUGUUAAUACAUUCCGUAAUAUUUUUACAUGAAUUAUGCCUUUUGGAAUUUCAUUUUAUAUAACUGGUCUCAGUAUUUGGCAUAAUGCUUGUUUUGAGAUCAUGAAGAUGAACUUUGUUUUCUCAUCUGAUUAUACUGUUAUUGUGUGACUGUGACAUUGAGUGAUGUUCGUGACAUCAUUCACUGGUUUGCCUCAUCAAGACCUUCUGUGAACUAUGCCCCUGAAACCCAACCUGAAAUUGCAUGGUCACAAAUGUUUGUCAGUGAUACAGAAGAAUGCCAGUGCUUUGUGAUGUACAAAAGUAUGUCAAUGAUAUACUUACUCAAAACAAGUUAAAGAGCACCCACAAUUGAAAGUCUGUGUUGCAAUUCCCACGAGCCAUGACGGAUUGAUUAUAGUCAUAUGAAAAAUAUGGGUGUUUUUUAACUUCUUGUGAGUAGUAUGUAUACCACUCAACUCUUCAUAGGAAUAUUUUGAGUGUCAGUGUUGGAACUGAAUGCAACUAUUUGUUUGGGGAAGUCCGCGAAAAUUGUUCAAUGUUCCCAUGGACUGGAGUAUCUUCUCUUUCUUUCAAGUUACAAUGAACAUAAGUAUACAAUUUUAUAAGUUGUUGUCCUCUGUGUUUUGUAAAAGGAUGACAAGUCGAGUGUUUUUUCCAGGAUUCAGGCUAAUUUGAUCAUAAUUAUGCAUUUUAAAAUGAGUUGUGUGCAGAAAAAACAAAAACAUUUAUUAUUUUUUCAGUGAUAAAAUUCUUUUAAUUUUUGGAACUAUAAUUACAUGUAAUUAAAUCACAAAGUGGUCAGUCAUUAGUAAAGAAAUGUCUUGAUGUAAGCAAAGUCUGUCAUGCUCAUGACCGUUAUGUUUACUAUGAAUACAAAAGUGAAUGAAUUCCUGUGAUGUAUAUAGAAACGUUGAUCUGUGCAUGACCAGAAUCGAUGUAUUUGUGUCUGAUAUUUCAUGCAGACAGACCGUAUGUAAAAAAAUACAUAUCCAUAAUCUUAGUUAUGACUUUCAUACACUCCCACACUGGUUGAAUGGAAAUCCCUACCCCCCCCCCCCCCCCCCCCCCCCC
This 9049-nucleotide unclassified non-coding RNA is filed under the name Haliotis rufescens (red abalone). RNAcentral's name for it is "cyclic AMP receptor-like protein A, transcript variant X3". The record is from RNAcentral. Lineage: Eukaryota; Metazoa; Mollusca; Gastropoda; Lepetellida; Haliotidae.